GUUUGAACCAAUAGGAAGAAGACUAAUAGUCAACGAUAAGACUGUUCAAGCAAACUCACAAAACUACAGGUCAAGAGUAGCAGACGGUGAAGCCAAACCACUAGGAAACUCGCGACAUUGUUGAGAUUAGAGAGAGAAGAAGUGAAGAACUGAGGUAAGAAGUUGGUGGGACUUGGGAGAACCUGUGAGAGUGAGAGAGUGA
Molecule: unclassified non-coding RNA, 202 nt
Filed under: Hevea brasiliensis (rubber tree)
Lineage: Eukaryota; Viridiplantae; Streptophyta; Magnoliopsida; Malpighiales; Euphorbiaceae
Source: RNAcentral